AUUGAACGCUGGCGGCAGGCCUAACACAUGCAAGUCGAACGGUAACAGGAAGAACAUUGCUUCUUUGCUGACGAGUGGCGGUCGGGUGUGUAUUGUCUGGGAAACUGCCUGAUGGCGGGGGACAACUACUGGAAACGGCAGCUAAUACCCCAUAACUUCUCAAGACCAAAGUGGGGGACCUUCGGGCCUCUUGCCAUCGGAUGUGCCCAGAUGGGAUUAGCUAGUAGGUGGGGUCACGGAUCACCUAGGCGACAAUCCCUACCUGGUCUGAGAGGAUGACCAGCCACACUGGAACUGAGACACGGUCCAGACUCCUACGGGAGGCAGCAGUGGGGAAUAUUGCAAAAUGGGCGCAAGCCUGAUGCAGCCAUGCCGCGUGUAUGAAGCAGGCCUCCGGGUUGUAAAGUACUUUUAGCGGGGAGGAAGGGAGUAAAGUUAAUACCUUGGCUCAUUGACGUUCCCCGCAGAAGAAGCACCGGCUCAACACGUG
Molecule: ribosomal RNA, 490 nt
Filed under: uncultured bacterium
Lineage: Bacteria
Description: partial 16S ribosomal RNA
Rfam family: Bacterial small subunit ribosomal RNA
Source: RNAcentral